This 492-nucleotide ribosomal RNA is filed under the name uncultured bacterium. RNAcentral's name for it is "partial 16S ribosomal RNA". It matches the Rfam family "Bacterial small subunit ribosomal RNA", at positions 29 to 507 of the family's 1533-position model. The record is from RNAcentral.
AGUGAACGCUGGCGGUAGGCCUAACACAUGCAAGUCGAACGGCAGCACAGUAAGAGCUUGCUCUUACGGGUGGCGAGUGGCGGACGGGUGAGGAAUACAUCGGAAUCUACUUUUUCGUGGGGGAUAACGUAGGGAAACUUACGCUAAUACAGCAUACGACCUACGGGUGAAAGCAGGGGAUCUUCGGACCUUGCGCGAUUGAAUGAGCCGAUGUCGGAUUAGCUAGUUGGCGGGGUAAAGGCCCACCAAGGCGACGAUACGUAGCUGGUCUGAGAGGAUGAUCGGCCACACUGGAACUGAGACACGGUCCAGACUCCUACGGGAGGCAGCAGUGGGGAAUAUUGGACAAUGGGCGCAAGCCUGAUCCAGCCAUACCGCGUGGGUGAAGAAGGCCUUCGGGUUGUAAAGCCCUUUUGUUGGGAAAGAAAAGCAGCAGGUUAAUACCCCGCUGUUCUGACGGUACCCAAAGAAUAAGCACCGGCUAACUUCGUG